GGAGGCAGCAGUGGGGAAUUUUCCGCAAUGGGCGAAAGCCUGACGGAGCAAGACCGCGUGGGGGAAGAAGGCUCUUGGGUUGUAAACUCCUUUUCUCUGGGAAGAACANAAUGACGGUACCAGAGGAAUCAGCAUCGGCUAACUCCGUGCCAGCAGCCGCGGUAAKACGGAGGAUGCAAGCGUUAUCCGGAAUGAUUGGGCGUAAAGCGUCCGCAGGUGGCARUUCAAGUCUGCUGUCAAAGACCGGGGCUCAACCUCGGAAAGGCAGUGGAAACUGAACAGCUAGAGUAUGGUAGGGGCAAAGGGAAUUCCUGGUGUAGCGGUGAAAUGCGUAGAGAUCAGGAAGAACAUCGGUGGCGAAGGCGCUUUGCUGGRCCAUAACUGACACUCAGGGACGAAAGCUAGGGGAGCGAAUGGGAUUAGAUACCCCAGUAGUCCUAGCCGUAAACGAUGGAUACUAGGUGUUGUCUGUAUCGACC
RNAcentral lists this ribosomal RNA (479 nucleotides) under Tychonema bourrellyi. Its description in RNAcentral is "bacterial SSU rRNA". It matches the Rfam family "Bacterial small subunit ribosomal RNA", at positions 344 to 837 of the family's 1533-position model. The record is from RNAcentral. Lineage: Bacteria; Bacillati; Cyanobacteriota; Cyanophyceae; Oscillatoriales; Microcoleaceae.